This 517-nucleotide unclassified non-coding RNA is filed under the name uncultured Flavobacteriaceae bacterium. RNAcentral's name for it is "16S-23S ribosomal RNA intergenic spacer". The stretch from base 90 to 163 matches the Rfam family "tRNA". Lineage: Bacteria; Pseudomonadati; Bacteroidota; Flavobacteriia; Flavobacteriales; Flavobacteriaceae. The record is from RNAcentral.
AGAGAAAGACGACUUCUAAGACGACGCAAUUGAAGGUUAUGUUCGCUUAGCUGUCAUUAUUUUUAUAAAAAUAAACCUAAGCAAAGUAGAGUCUCGUAGCUCAGCUGGUUAGAGCGCUACACUGAUAAUGUAGAGGUCGGCAGUUCGAGUCUGCCCGAGACUACAAUUUAAAGACUAUACCACUGCUUUUUAGGUUAUAGGAAAUUUUAGAGGUUGAGAAUUUACAAUCACCUUAUCGUAAUUAUAGAUUCUGAUCUUUAAUUUCAACGGGGGAUUAGCUCAGCUGGCUAGAGCGCUUGAUUUGCAUUCAAGAGGUCAUCGGUUCGACUCCGAUAUUCUCCACAAGGUAUUAGACUUUAUUUAAUAGAGAUAUAAUACAAAACGUUCAUUGACAUAUUGAAGAUACAAACGUAUCAAAUCAUAUUUAGUUAUAGUGAUAUAAUUAGAUAUUGGUUUAUACGAGCAAAUAAUAGUAAAAUUUAGAGCAAAUUAAUUAAAUAAGAAUUGUACAAGUUAC